GUAGUCGGAUUUACAUCAAUUCAUAUGUAUUGAGGUGGAUUGGAGUGAAACUUGAACUAAAUUCCACCGCAACCCACACCAACACCAACACACAUGAAUUGAAGUGAAUCCGAUA
This is a microRNA precursor of Sorghum bicolor (sorghum), 115 nucleotides long. It matches the Rfam family "MIR5565 microRNA precursor family". Lineage: Eukaryota; Viridiplantae; Streptophyta; Magnoliopsida; Poales; Poaceae. The record is from Rfam.